Molecule: ribosomal RNA, 468 nt
Filed under: uncultured bacterium
Lineage: Bacteria
Description: SSU rRNA
Rfam family: Bacterial small subunit ribosomal RNA
Source: RNAcentral
AGAGCGAACGCUGGCGGCAUGCUUAACACAUGCAAGUCGCACGGUUCGGGGGAGACUCCGGGCAGUGGCGGACGGGUGAGGAACGCGUAGGAAUCUGUCCUGUGGGGGGGAGUAACUGUGGGAAACUAGCAGCUAAUACCGCAUGAAGCCUGAGGGCUAAAGGCGCUGACGAGAGUUGGUGCUGCCGUGGGGGAGCCUGCGUCCGAUUAGCUUGUUGGUGGGGUAAAGGCUUACCAAGGCGUCGAUCGGUAGCUGGCCUGAGAGGACGAUCAGCCACACUGGGAUUGAGAACGGCCCAGACUCCUACGGGGGGCAGCAGUGAGGAAUUUUCCGCAAUGGAGGCAACUCUGACGGAGCAACGCCGCGUGCAGGAGGAAGGUUUUCGGAUCGUAAACUGCUUUUCUCGGGGACGAGCAAGGGACGGUACCCGAGGAAGAAGCCCCGGCUAACGUACGUGCCAGCAGCCGC